GUAGGUGAACCUGCGGAAGGAUCAUUAUUGAAUUUAAUUAGCGUAUACUUUUUUAACAAAGUUGCGUGACCUUUUUUCUUUACAAACUCUUGUGCAUUUUUUUUGGUGAUUAGUAGAAAAAUCUUUACGGAUUUUAGAUACCAUUUCACGGCUCAUUUUUUAAAAACAAUAAUAGUCAGAGUAUGUUUAAAAAUUUUAUAAUUAUAAAAAAACUUUCAACAACGGAUCUCUUGGCUCUCGCAUCGAUGAA
This 250-nucleotide unclassified non-coding RNA is filed under the name plant metagenome. Its description in RNAcentral is "partial contains small subunit ribosomal RNA, internal transcribed spacer 1, and 5.8S ribosomal RNA". The record is from RNAcentral.